GGGCCCGUAGGCUAGGGGAUAGACUGUGGGGCUUCGGACCCCACGACCCGGGUUCGAAUCCCGGCGGGCCCG
Molecule: transfer RNA, 72 nt
Filed under: Candidatus Aciduliprofundum boonei
Lineage: Archaea; Methanobacteriati; Thermoplasmatota
Also listed under: 2 other names
Description: tRNA-Arg
Rfam family: tRNA
About the family: Transfer RNA (tRNA) molecules are approximately 80 nucleotides in length. Their secondary structure includes four short double-helical elements and three loops (D, anti-codon, and T loops).
Source: RNAcentral